GAUGAACGCUGGCGGCGUGCCUAACACAUGCAAGUCGAGCGAGGGUUUGCUCAGUAUUGAGUAUUCUAAGACUAGAAUGUUCAAUUCUGAGCAAAACCAAGCGGCGGACGGGUGAGUAACGCGUGGGUAACCUGCCCUAUACACAUGGAUAACAUACUGAAAAGUUUACUAAUACAUGAUAAUAUAUAUUUGCGGCAUCGCGGAUAUAUCAAAGUGUUAGCGGUAUAGGAUGGACCCGCGUCUGAUUAGCUAGUUGGUGAGAUAACUGCCCACCAAGGCGACGAUCAGUAGCCGACCUGAGAGGGUGAUCGGCCACAUUGGAACUGAGACACGGUCCAAACUCCUACGGGAGGCAGCAGUGGGGAAUAUUGCACAAUGGGCGAAAGCCUGAUGCAGCAACGCCGCGUGAACGAUGAAGGUCUUCGGAUCGUAAAGUUCUGUUGCAGGGGAAGAUAAUGACGGUACCCUGUGAGGAAGCCCCGGCUAACUACGUGCCAGCAGCCGCGGUAAUACGUAGGGGGCUAGCGUUAUCCGGAUUUACUGGGCGUAAAGGGUGCGUAGGUGGUCCUUCAAGUCGGUGGUUAAAGGCUACGGCUCAACCGUAGUAAGCCGCCGAAACUGGAGGACUUGAGUGCAGGAGAGGAAAGCGGAAUUCCCAGUGUAGCGGUGAAAUGCGUAGAUAUUGGGAGGAACACCAGUAGCGAAGGCGGCUUUCUGGACUGCAACUGACACUGAGGCACGAAAGCGUGGGUAGCAAACAGG
RNAcentral lists this ribosomal RNA (762 nucleotides) under uncultured Peptostreptococcus sp. Its description in RNAcentral is "bacterial SSU rRNA". It matches the Rfam family "Bacterial small subunit ribosomal RNA", at positions 28 to 776 of the family's 1533-position model. The record is from RNAcentral. Lineage: Bacteria; Bacillati; Bacillota; Clostridia; Peptostreptococcales; Peptostreptococcaceae.